CAUCUCGUGAUAUCAUGCAGUCGAGCGGAAGAUGGGAGCUUGCUCCCUGAUGUUAGCGGCGGACGGGUGAGUAACACGUGGGUAACCUGCCUGUAAGACUGGGAUAACUCCGGGAAACCGGGGCUAAUACCGGAUGCUUGUUUGAACCGCAUGGUUCAAACAUAAAAGGUGGCUUCGGCUACCACUUACAGAUGGACCCGCGGCGCAUUAGCUAGUUGGUGAGGUAACGGCUCACCAAGGCAACGAUGCGUAGCCGACCUGAGAGGGUGAUCGGCCACACUGGGACUGAGACACGGCCCAGACUCCUACGGGAGGCAGCAGUAGGGAAUCUUCCGCAAUGGACGAAAGUCUGACGGAGCAACGCCGCGUGAGUGAUGAAGGUUUUCGGAUCGUAAAGCUCUGUUGUUAGGGAAGAACAAGUACCGUUCGAAUAGGGCGGUACCUUGACGGUACCUAACCAGAAAGCCACGGCUAACUACGUGCCAGCAGCCGCGGUAAUACGUAGGUGGCAAGCGUUGUCCGGAAUUAUUGGGCGUAAAGGGCUCGCAGGCGGUUUCUUAAGUCUGAUGUGAAAGCCCCCGGCUCAACCGGGGAGGGUCAUUGGAAACUGGGGAACUUGAGUGCAGAAGAGGAGAGUGGAAUUCCACGUGUAGCGGUGAAAUGCGUAAAGAAU
Molecule: ribosomal RNA, 673 nt
Filed under: Bacillus subtilis
Lineage: Bacteria; Bacillati; Bacillota; Bacilli; Caryophanales; Bacillaceae
Description: bacterial SSU rRNA
Rfam family: Bacterial small subunit ribosomal RNA
Source: RNAcentral